RNAcentral lists this ribosomal RNA (1358 nucleotides) under uncultured bacterium. RNAcentral's name for it is "bacterial SSU rRNA". It matches the Rfam family "Bacterial small subunit ribosomal RNA", at positions 28 to 1381 of the family's 1533-position model. The record is from RNAcentral.
GAUGAACGCUAGCUACAGGCUUAACACAUGCAAGUCGAGGGGCAGCAUGGUCUUAGCUUGCUAAGGCCGAUGGCGACCGGCGCACGGGUGAGUAACACGUAUCCAACCUGCCGUCUACUCUUGGACAGCCUUCUGAAAGGAAGAUUAAUACAAGAUGGCAUCAUGAGUCCGCAUGUUCACAUGAUUAAAGGUAUUCCGGUAGACGAUGGGGAUGCGUUCCAUUAGAUAGUAGGCGGGGUAACGGCCCACCUAGUCUUCGAUGGAUAGGGGUUCUGAGAGGAAGGUCCCCCACAUUGGAACUGAGACACGGUCCAAACUCCUACGGGAGGCAGCAGUGAGGAAUAUUGGUCAAUGGGCGAGAGCCUGAACCAGCCAAGUAGCGUGAAGGAUGACUGCCCUAUGGGUUGUAAACUUCUUUUAUAAAGGAAUAAAGUCGGGUAUGCAUACCCGUUUGCAUGUACUUUAUGAAUAAGGAUCGGCUAACUCCGUGCCAGCAGCCGCGGUAAUACGGAGGAUCCGAGCGUUAUCCGGAUUUAUUGGGUUUAAAGGGAGCGUAGAUGGAUGUUUAAGUCAGUUGUGAAAGUUUGCGGCUCAACCGUAAAAUUGCAGUUGAUACUGGAUAUCUUGAGUGCAGUUGAGGCAGGCGGAAUUCGUGGUGUAGCGGUGAAAUGCUUAGAUAUCACGAAGAACUCCGAUUGCGAAGGCAGCCUGCUAAGCUGCAACUGACAUUGAGGCUCGAAAGUGUGGGUAUCAAACAGGAUUAGAUACCCUGGUAGUCCACACGGUAAACGAUGAAUACUCGCUGUUUGCGAUAUACAGCAAGCGGCCAAGCGAAAGCGUUAAGUAUUCCACCUGGGGAGUACGCCGGCAACGGUGAAACUCAAAGGAAUUGACGGGGGCCCGCACAAGCGGAGGAACAUGUGGUUUAAUUCGAUGAUACGCGAGGAACCUUACCCGGGCUUAAAUUGCAGAUGAAUUACGGUGAAAGCCGUAAGCCGCAAGGCAUCUGUGAAGGUGCUGCAUGGUUGUCGUCAGCUCGUGCCGUGAGGUGUCGGCUUAAGUGCCAUAACGAGCGCAACCCUUGUUGUCAGUUACUAGCAGGUUCCGCUGAGGACUCUGACAAGACUGCCAUCGUAAGAUGUGAGGAAGGUGGGGAUGACGUCAAAUCAGCACGGCCCUUACGUCCGGGGCUACACACGUGUUACAAUGGGGGGUACAGAGGGCCGCUACCACGCGAGUGGAUGCCAAUCCCAAAAACCUCUCUCAGUUCGGACUGGAGUCUGCAACCCGACUCCACGAAGCUGGAUUCGCUAGUAAUCGCGCAUCAGCCACGGCGCGGUGAAUACGUUCCCGGGCCU